Molecule: ribosomal RNA, 787 nt
Filed under: uncultured bacterium
Lineage: Bacteria
Description: bacterial SSU rRNA
Rfam family: Bacterial small subunit ribosomal RNA
Source: RNAcentral
AGAGUUUGAUCAUGGCUCAGAUUGAACGCUGGCGGCGUGCCUAACACAUGCAAGUCGAGCGGUAACAGGUGUAGCAAUACAUGCUGACGAGCGGCGAACGGGUGAGUAAUGCUUCGGAAUCUACCCAAUGGGGGGAAUAACCAGCCGAAAGGUUGGCUAAUACCGCAUACGUCCUACGGGAGAAAGCAGGGAUCGUAAGACCUUGCGCCAAUGGAUGAGCCGAAGUCGGAUUAGCUAGUUGGAGAACGGCCUACCAAGGCGACGAUCCGUAGCUGGUCUGAGAGGAGACCAGCCACACUGGGACUGAGACACGGCCCAGACUCCUACGGGAGGCAGCAGUGGGGAAUAUUGGACAAUGGGGGAAACCCUGAUCCAGCGACGCCGCGUGUGUGAAGAAGGCCUGCGGGUUGUAAAGCACUUUUAGUGGGGAUGAAAAGUGCAGAGCUAAUACCUCUGCAUCUUGACCUAACCCACAGAAAAAGCACCGGCUAACUCUGUGCCAGCAGCCGCGGUAAUACAGAGGGUGCAAGCGUUAAUNNGAAUUACUGGGCGUAAAGCGUGCGUAGACGGUUACAUAAGUCGGGUGUGAAAGCCCCGGGCUCAACCUGGGAAUUGCAUUCGAGACUGCGUAGCUAGGGUGCGGAAGAGGGAAGCGGAAUUUCCGGUGUAGCGGUGAAAUGCGUAGAUAUCGGAAGGAACACUAGUGGCGAAAGCGGCUUCCUGGUCCAGCCCGACGUUCAGGCACGAAAGCGUGGGGAGCAAACAGGAUUAGAUACCCCCGUAGUCC